UGUCGGCUCAUCACAUCCUGGGGCUGAAGCCGGUCCCAAGGGUAUGGCUGUUCGCCAUUUAAAGUGGUACGCGAGCUGGGUUUAGAACGUCGUGAGACAGUUCGGUCCCUAUCUGCCGUGGACGUUUGAGAUUUGAGAGGGGCUGCUCCUAGUACGAGAGGACCGGAGUGGACGAACCUCUGGUGUUCCGGUUGUCACGCCAGUGGCAUUGCCGGGUAGCUAUGUUCGGAAAAGAUAACCGCUGAAAGCAUCUAAGCGGGAAACUUGCCUCAAGAUGAGAUCUCACUGGGAACUUGAUUCCCCUGAAGGGCCGUCGAAGACUACGACGUUGAUAGGCUGGGUGUGUAAGCGUUGUGAGGCGUUGAGCUAACCAGUACUAAUUGCCCGUGAGGCUUGACCAUAUAACACCCAAACA
Molecule: ribosomal RNA, 415 nt
Filed under: Pseudomonas aeruginosa
Lineage: Bacteria; Pseudomonadati; Pseudomonadota; Gammaproteobacteria; Pseudomonadales; Pseudomonadaceae
Description: partial 23S ribosomal RNA
Rfam family: Bacterial large subunit ribosomal RNA
Source: RNAcentral